UGAACGAUGACCACUUCGGUGGGGAUUAGUGGCGAACGGGUGAGUAACACGUGGGCAAUCUGCCCUGCACUCUGGGACAAGCCCUGGAAACGGGGUCUAAUACCGGAUACUGACCCGCUUGGGCAUCCAAGCGGUUCGAAAGCUCCGGCGGUGCAGGAUGAGCCCGCGGCCUAUCAGCUUGUUGGUGAGGUAAUGGCUCACCAAGGCGACGACGGGUAGCCGGCCUGAGAGGGCGACCGGCCACACUGGGACUGAGACACGGCCCAGACUCCUACGGGAGGCAGCAGUGGGGAAUAUUGCACAAUGGGCGAAAGCCUGAUGCAGCGACGCCGCGUGAGGGAUGACGGCCUUCGGGUUGUAAACCUCUUUCAGCAGGGAAGAAGCGAAAGUGACGGUACCUGCAGAAGAAGCGCCGGCUAACUACGUGCCAGCAGCCGCGGUAAUACGUAGGGCGCGAGCGUUGUCCGGAAUUAUUGGGCGUAAAGAGCUCGUAGGCGGCUUGUCACGUCGGUUGUGAAAGCCCGGGGCUUAACCCCGGGUCUGCAGUCGAUACGGGCAGGCUAGAGUUCGGUAGGGGAGAUCGGAAUUCCUGGUGUAGCGGUGAAAUGCGCAGAUAUCAGGAGGAACACCGGUGGCGAAGGCGGAUCUCUGGGCCGAUACUGACGCUGAGGAGCGAAAGCG
This 681-nucleotide ribosomal RNA is filed under the name Streptomyces sp. R205. RNAcentral's name for it is "bacterial SSU rRNA". It matches the Rfam family "Bacterial small subunit ribosomal RNA", at positions 63 to 761 of the family's 1533-position model. Lineage: Bacteria; Bacillati; Actinomycetota; Actinomycetes; Kitasatosporales; Streptomycetaceae. The record is from RNAcentral.